This 253-nucleotide ribosomal RNA is filed under the name uncultured bacterium. Its description in RNAcentral is "partial 16S ribosomal RNA". It matches the Rfam family "Bacterial small subunit ribosomal RNA", at positions 524 to 776 of the family's 1533-position model. The record is from RNAcentral.
UACGGGGGGGGCAAGCGUUGUUCGGAAUUACUGGGCGUAAAGGGCUCGUAGGCGGCCAACUAAGUCAAACGUGAAAUCCCUCGGCUUAACCGGGGAACUGCGUCUGAUACUGGAUGGCUUGAGUUUGGGAGAGGGAUGCGGAAUUCCAGGUGUAGCGGUGAAAUGCGUAGAUAUCUGGAGGAACACCGGUGGCGAAGGCGGCAUCCUGGACUGGUCCUGACACUCAUGAGCGAAAGCGUGGGGAGCGAUCCGG